UUUGGUAUUUUGGUUAGUAAAUAAUAAAAAAACAAAGUAUGAUACAAUCAAAUGAUGCUUGGUGGUCUCUCCCAAUGCAAACCCAAUGGAUGAGGGGUAAGGAUGAUACCAAGGUGUGAUCCCAAUGCUAAUGCAUAUGAUGAGAAAUAGCAUGAGGGAUCUUAGGGUCAAAAUUGGGAUCUUACAAUGGCACCAAAGAGAGUCAACAACAUCAACCAACUAUUUAACUCAAAUAUAAUUGUACAAGCCUAAUACCAAGACUUCUCCUAUAAUUUU
This 276-nucleotide long non-coding RNA is filed under the name Lathyrus oleraceus (garden pea). RNAcentral's name for it is "Pisum sativum (pea) long non-coding RNA (PSAT_LNC033353)". The record is from RNAcentral. Lineage: Eukaryota; Viridiplantae; Streptophyta; Magnoliopsida; Fabales; Fabaceae.